Long non-coding RNA from Felis catus (domestic cat), 1841 nucleotides. RefSeq lists it as uncharacterized. The transcript has 5 exons. The record is from RefSeq and is a predicted model, not a curated record. Lineage: Eukaryota; Metazoa; Chordata; Mammalia; Carnivora; Felidae.
GCCUCUGAGAGCUGAGAAUGGCUCCCGGCUGACAGGCCCCAAGGAAAUGGGGGACCUCAGUCCUCCGAUCACAAAAAAAGACCCUGAGUUCUGCCAACAACCUGAAUGAAAAUUAGGAAGACGGUCUGAGCCCCAGCCUGUGAGGCCCUCUGCCGAGAAGCCAGAUUUAAGACCCACACAGCUGUGAGCUGACAGGCUCCAAGAGGCUGAUUCCUGGUUUGGGGACACUUUGUCUGUGAUGAAGGUGUCUUGCAGCCACUGAGCAGAAAUGCCCGGGGAUAACCUCAUACUCUAGAGAGACGGGGCUUGCCAUCGCGUGAUCCAAAUGCAGACACCGGAUCCCGCUUCUUCCGUCUUGCUCUCGCGUUCCCGAUGGAGAGAAGCUUCACCCGAAGGAUCAUCUGUGCCUGUAAUAAAGGUGAUGUCCUAUGAGGACUGCACUCAGAGCAAGAUGGCCGUCAGAGCUCCAGCCACGGCGUCUCCAUUCCAGACAGCACAAUGGAGAAGGAGAGCCUCCCCAUCCAACACCUUCCUCUUCCAUCCCAUCAGCUUGAACCCAGUCACAUAAGCUCACCUAGUCGCUGCUUACCUCCUGUCCCAAGCUGGCCUGCUGCUGGAGAAAGUAACACAAUCAUGCUGACACACACCUCUGUAGGCUGUGGCUUCUAGCCCAGCUGAGCCCCCCACACUCCUGGACAAGGCCUUUUGUCCUCUCUUUUGCAUGCCUCAUGGCAGUUAUUCCAAGAAUUCAGUCACUUUCCUGCAACACUCCUCCCACCCUUGGCUCCCUUCCUCCUUCCCUCUCCCCUGUUUAGACAUCCCUGUCGUUCCUCCGAAGCAGCUCUAGCUGCAACCAGAGGUGACCGUUGCCCUGGCCCGAGCAGACCUUCUCUUUCCCCUGAAUCCUACCGUCAACAGGAAUGAACCGAUGAGAGGCCCUAACAGCUACCCGUUUCAUCUAGAAACUGUGUCUUUAACCACAGCAUCCAUGCUUCACUCCAAAGGAGACUCCCAGGGGAGGUCAGAGGCCCCAAGCAGGCCGCCUCGGGAUGCUGCAGGGGCAGUGGUCCCCCCGGCAGCUGACGGGCCUCAGAACAGAGAGCGAUUCCCCCCGAAGAAGGCUCGGCAUCCUUUGGCUCCCUCAGCCCCCCCUGACACUUGUGCCAGUCCCUGUCCUGACUUCACAGUGGCCCGAGGGCACCAGGCGCACCACCCACCUCUGCAAAGAGGCAAAAUGACAUGGGAGAGAAUGUCAGUAUUUCCCCACAUUGAGGGGACCGUGUCCAUAUUCUUCUGGAAACGUCCCCUUCGAGUUCCUGGCUGCUUAUCAGGAGCAGGCUGAGUGCACACGCCCCCGGGUUUAGGGGCUGACGGAGGUAGCCCCACCCUUCAAUAGAUGCAGGGCGGGCCACCAACCCCUCCUGCACAAAACCUUGGUUCCCGCCCUGCCGGGAGGGCGUGAAAUGGGGGUGCUGCUCUGGGGGCUCACGCGGGUUCUCGCGGCCCCAGCCACAUCCACCGUCCUCCACCGCUCCCAUCGGGGCUGAUGAGGGCUGGGGCCAGGAAACUGCUCGGGGGCUAAGGGUUCCUACUCGGUGUGAGAAGUCUGCCUUACAGGUUGCUAUAAAAAGGAGCAAAAAUAACAGAGGUGCCUCUUCGUCUGUCUUCAUGUUCCCCGUUUCACUUAUCACACACAUCUUGCAAUAGCUACUCAUUUUCACAUUUUCUUCAGUCACUUCCUCCCUCCAACGUGAAUUACCUAAAAUAACAACCUCUCAGGGUCAGCCUCAGCCAUGCAUCACAGGCAGCUGUUCCAGGGUAAGGACUGUGCCCAGAAGAAG